Homo sapiens (human) is the source of this 146-nucleotide non-coding RNA. It matches the Rfam family "Metazoan signal recognition particle RNA". Rfam says of the family: The signal recognition particle (SRP) is a universally conserved ribonucleoprotein. NCBI's taxonomy places the organism in Eukaryota, Metazoa, Chordata, Mammalia, Primates, Hominidae. The record is from Rfam.
GCUGGGCAUGGUGGUGGAUGCCUGUAAUCCUAGCUACUGGGGAGGCUGAGGCAGGAGAAUCACUUGAACCCGGGAGCUGGAGGUUGCAGUGAGCCAAGAUCAGGCCAUUGCACUCCAGCCUGGGUAACAGAGUGAGACUGUCUCAA